RNAcentral lists this small nucleolar RNA (114 nucleotides) under Globisporangium irregulare DAOM BR486. Its description in RNAcentral is "snoRNA EPrPIrr00000013138". The record is from RNAcentral. Lineage: Eukaryota; Oomycota; Peronosporomycetes; Pythiales; Pythiaceae.
GCGCGGUGAUGAUGAACUAUUCCCUUAAACAUUCGCAGUGUUUUGCUGAUAGCUCUCGGCUCGCCGGCUGAGUUAGCUGCUUGAGGCCAAUUUUUUCCUUGGAUGUCUGAGCGC